CCUGCCCUAAAGUGGGGGAUAACAUUUGGAAACAGAUGCUAAUACCGCAUAAAACCUAACACCGCAUGGUGUAGGGUUGAAAGAUGGUUUCGGCUAUCACUUUAGGAUGGACCCGCGGUGCAUUAGUUAGUUGGUGAGGUAAAGGCUCACCAAGACCGUGAUGCAUAGCCGACCUGAGAGGGUAAUCGGCCACACUGGGACUGAGACACGGCCCAGACUCCUACGGGAGGCAGCAGUAGGGAAUCUUCCACAAUGGACGAAAGUCUGAUGGAGCAACGCCGCGUGAGUGAAGAAGGUUUUCGGAUCGUAAAACUCUGUUGUUGGAGAAGAAUGUAUCUGAUAGUAACUGAUCAGGUAGUGACGGUAUCCAACCAGAAAGCCACGGCUAACUACGUGCCAGCAGCCGCGGUAAUACGUAGGUGGCAAGCGUUGUCCGGAUUUAUUGGGCGUAAAGCGAGCGCAGGCGGUUUCUAAAGUCUGAUGUGAAAGC
Molecule: ribosomal RNA, 490 nt
Filed under: uncultured Bacilli bacterium
Lineage: Bacteria; Bacillati; Bacillota; Bacilli
Description: bacterial SSU rRNA
Rfam family: Bacterial small subunit ribosomal RNA
Source: RNAcentral